AUUCAGUUGACGAGUCUCGGAUGGGACGAAACACGCGUCUUGAAU
Non-coding RNA from Schistosoma haematobium, 45 nucleotides. NCBI's taxonomy places the organism in Eukaryota, Metazoa, Platyhelminthes, Trematoda, Strigeidida, Schistosomatidae. The record is from Rfam.